Molecule: ribosomal RNA, 1346 nt
Filed under: uncultured bacterium
Lineage: Bacteria
Description: partial 16S ribosomal RNA
Rfam family: Bacterial small subunit ribosomal RNA
Source: RNAcentral
GACGAACGCUGGCGGCGUGCUUAACACAUGCAAGUCGAACGGAAAGGCCCUGCUUUUGUGGGGUGCUCGAGUGGCGAACGGGUGAGUAACACGUGAGUAACCUGCCCUUGACUUUGGGAUAACUUCAGGAAACUGGGGCUAAUACCGGAUAGGAGCUCCUGCUGCAUGGUGGGGGUUGGAAAGUUUCGGCGGUUGGGGAUGGACUCGCGGCUUAUCAGCUUGUUGGUGGGGUAGUGGCUUACCAAGGCUUUGACGGGUAGCCGGCCUGAGAGGGUGACCGGCCACAUUGGGACUGAGAUACGGCCCAGACUCCUACGGGAGGCAGCAGUGGGGAAUAUUGCACAAUGGGCGGAAGCCUGAUGCACCGACGCCGCGUGCGGGAUGACGGCCUUCGGGUUGUAAACCGCUUUCGCCUGUCACCAAGCGUGAGUGACGGUAAUGGGUAAAGAAGCACCGGCUAACUACUUGCCACUCGCCGCCGUGAUACGUAAGGUGCGAGCGUUAUCCGGAUUUAUUGGGCGUAAAGGGCUCGUAGGUGGUUGAUCGCGUCGGAAGUGUAAUCUUGGGGCUUAACCCUGAGCGUGCUUUCGAUACGGGUUGACUUGAGGAAGGUAGGGGAGAAUGGAAUUCCUGGUGGAGCGGUGGAAUGCGCAGAUAUCAGGAGGAACACCAGUGGCGAAGGCGGUUCUCUGGGCCUUUCCUGACGCUGAGGAGCGAAAGCGUGGGGAGCGAACAGGCUUAGAUACCCUGGUAGUCCACGCUGUAAACGGUGGGUACUAGGUGUGGGGUCCAUUCCACGGGUUCCGUGCCGUAGCUAACGCUUUAAGUACCCCGCCUGGGGAGUACGGCCGCAAGGCUAAAACUCAAAGGAAUUGACGGGGCCCCGCACAAGCGGCGGAGCAUGCGGAUUAAUUCGAUGCAACGCGUAGAACCUUACCUGGGUUUGACAUGGAUCGGGAGUGCUCAGAGAUGGGUGUGCCUCUUUUGGGGUCGGUUCACAGGUGGUGCAUGGCUGUCGUCAGCUCGUGUCGUGAGAUGUUGGGUUAAGUCCCGCAACGAGCGCAACCCUUGUUCACUGUUGCCAGCACGUUAUGGUGGGGACUCAGUGGAGACCGCCGGGGUCAACUCGGAGGAAGGUGGGGAUGACGUCAAGUCAUCAUGCCCCUUAUGUCCAGGGCUUCACGCAUGCUACAAUGGCUGGUACAGAGAGUGGCGAGCCUGUGAGGGUGAGCGAAUCUCGGAAAGCCGGUCUCAGUUCGGAUUGGGGUCUGCAACUCGACCUCAUGAAGUCGGAGUCGCUAGUAAUCGCAGAUCAGCAACGCUGCGGUGAAUACGUUCCCGGGGCU